This 658-nucleotide ribosomal RNA is filed under the name Tapinotaspis nordestina. Its description in RNAcentral is "partial 28S ribosomal RNA". It matches the Rfam family "Eukaryotic large subunit ribosomal RNA", at positions 583 to 813 of the family's 3401-position model. The record is from RNAcentral. Lineage: Eukaryota; Metazoa; Arthropoda; Insecta; Hymenoptera; Apidae.
AAAGAUCGAAUGGGGAGAUUCAUCGAUCAACGGCGCUGGCUCCCGUUGGUGCGCGAUGUCCCGAAUGGGCCCUUGUGGUUCCAUGGCGAGGGCACGCCACCUUCGGCCUGAAUGUUCCGGUGCCGUAGUCGUGCACUUCUCCCCUAGUAGAACGUCGCGACCCGUUGUGUGUCGGUCUACGGCCCGAGCGGGCGCCUGUCGCGUCGCCUUGUGCGCACGCGUCAGACCCUCGGUCGCCUGGCCGGCUGCACGACGGUACUCCCACGGUAUCGGGCCGCAACCAAUCCAUUCUCGAAUGUGUGUGCGUCAGGCCCGCCGCAAGCUCGGUUAGUUCUUACCCGGUGGUACGGACCUGGUGCCGUCCCCGGGCCUGACCAGCUGUUAGCAGGCGGUGUCCUCGGACUGGCCAAGCUUCGAAUUACCGGUCGGCGACGCUACUGCUUUGGGUACUCUCAGGACCCGUCUUGAAACACGGACCAAGGAGUCUAACAUGUGCGCGAGUCAUUGGGAUGCAUAAACCUAAAGGCGAAAUGAAAGUGAAGGUCGUCCUUUGCGUCGACCGAGGGAGGAUGGGCCGCGUAUUAGUAGGCGGCCCCGCACUCCCGGGGCGUCUCGUUCUCAAUGCGAGAAGAGGCGCACCCAGAGCGUACACGUUGGG